GAAGGAAUUUGAUGAUAAUAUUCCUGCUAGGGACUUCGAUAAUUUCCAGUUCGUCAAUUUCACGGACAUAAUGGCCAAAAAUGUGCCUCAAUCUCGAAAGGAGACGGAGUUUGCGCUUUCAGCAUUGAUGGAAAUCCCUUCACAAUACAAAGCGACGAUGGAACUUAACUUACUGGGUGGACAAAGUGGAAAAUCUGUCAAUAGGGUAGCUCUUCCUCCUCCUAUGUAUGGGGCAAGUUCUGUCGGUGGUUCAAAGACCUCACGUGCACCAAGUUUUCAGCAGCCUGCAAGCUCGUAUUAUGGUUAUGGAAGCCCUGCAGAUGCAGAACCACAUUUUCAGCCGACUUCAAGUUCUUACUACGACAGUGCUCGCCCAGUUGACAAUGCUCCAUCUGCUCCGAGUUCGCCCUACACUGCUCCCAGUUCUACCUAUGACAAUCAGGUUUGCCCCAUUUGUCUUACUAACCCAAAAGACAUGGCCUUUGGCUGUGGGCAUCAGACAUGUUGUGAGUGUGGGAGAGCGCUUGAGAAUUGCCCAAUAUGUCGAAGUUCAAUUCAAACCAGAAUAAAGCUCUAUUGAGCUGCUUGUUUUGCCCUGAUUCCUUUUGCUAUUCCAACCUGCAAUGCUUUUUGAUCAGUUUGGAUGUGAAACCAUGGUGAUGAAGCUGAUUUUUUUAUUUGUUGGAUAUGGCUUUGGCCUUGUGCUAAUGCAAAUUUCCUUCUGUACAUGGCUUGGUUCUUGUUUGUGUUUUGCUUUUGCCAAAUUACUUUACUUCCAACUAUAGAAGCGUAAGAUCCCUAGAUUCAAAUUGUCUGUAAAUCAACUGUUUAUUGUGCAGUGACCUUUAAAGAGUCUUGUGC
RNAcentral lists this unclassified non-coding RNA (861 nucleotides) under Hevea brasiliensis (rubber tree). The record is from RNAcentral. Lineage: Eukaryota; Viridiplantae; Streptophyta; Magnoliopsida; Malpighiales; Euphorbiaceae.